Long non-coding RNA from Marmota monax (woodchuck), 1161 nucleotides. RefSeq lists it as uncharacterized. The record is from RefSeq and is a predicted model, not a curated record. NCBI's taxonomy places the organism in Eukaryota, Metazoa, Chordata, Mammalia, Rodentia, Sciuridae. The transcript has 2 exons.
GGCUGGGACGGGCGCUGCGCGGCGCUGGCCUCCCGGGUGCCGCUCACCGCAGUCCGUGUCUUGGCGCCAGCCGGCGCGAGGCUGCGGCGGAACCGGGCUAGGGUCCCGGGCGAUGGGCAGGGAGGGCGAAAGACCAGGGGGCGGCGCCGCGCCGGAGCGGUGGUUGGCGACCGUGGGCGGAGAGCGCCCCGCGGAGCCGGCCUUCCCCGCUCCACUCGGGGUGGGGCUCGGUGCUCGUCCUCAUUCGAGGUCCGUUAGGACCCCGCUGUCCGGCACUGAGAGCUCCGUGGUUCAGGUAUUGGGAAAGCAGGCACGGAAGGCUGUCUGCCGCCGCGUCUAGCAGACCCGUCUGGAUGACACCCUGCGGAGCUGCCAUGGCCGGUUUCUAGCAGUGAGAAAGGGCAGUGGUGCUGCUGCCUCACUGGGGUUGUUGCCCUGUCACCUUGCAGCAGGAUGUUGAGUAGAACCCACGAGCGGUGGCUUUGGCCCUUGUCUGCCUGCUAGUGAAGCUCUUGGACCGGAAGCCGGCGUAGUGGUCCCUGCCAAGGAGCGGCAGCAAAGUGAUGGCCACGUUGUGGCCCGCACUGGCCAGCCGACACGUGGGGCUCCCAGCAGGCAUGGUGUGCACAGAGGGCAACCCGUCAUCCAGGCGCCCUGCCUGGGUACUCGCCGGGAUGCCCACAGCAGAAGCAUCUGAUGACCUUAACCUCCCAAUUUCUGACCCGUCUCCCCCCAAAUUGAGGUAAAGCAGACUUGAAUGAAAGUUGAUACUCAGGAAUUGACUAAUAGGGUUGGUACGUUUCCAAACUUUCAUUAGCAUAAAUUUGGACCAACAGCAGUGAAGCAAGUGCUAGGUAAACCCCUAGACUCUACACUUGGAUGGAGAACACCUGCUAUCCGGUGCCCUCUUGCAUUACAAGAGUUGAGUUCCUGUUUCUAAUUUUUUUUUUAACUUUUCAAAGUUGUUUUUUAUUCAAUUAUUUUACACUAAUUUGUUAUACACGGUGGCAGAAUGCAAUUCGUUUCAUAUUACACAUAUAGAGCACAAUUUUUCAAGUCACUGAUUGUAUACAAAGUAUUUUCACAUCAUUCGUGUCUUCCUACAUGUACUUACCUAUUUCUAAUCUUAAUAAACCCUGUUCUUUUUUUUUGUUUUUUUAA